ACAAGAGGAUUCUGCACGGUUUAUGGUGCAGAAUUGCCGCAUACUGUGCAUAUCUUUUACAUGUUUUUAUUUAAUUUUUUUCCUAUAGAAAACAUGUACAACUAUCGCUCAUUUAGAAUAUUUUUCCAUAUAAAUUCAAGAUUGUUUAUUGUCACGAGUGUAAAAGAAAACGAAAUGAUUGUUACACACACAAAAUGCCCGAAACAUCAUGGGGUUCGACCUCAAACGUUGACUGUAGUCUUUACCUACUCUUUGCUGAGUUUCUCCAGCAUUUUGUGUGUUGCUCGGGUAGUCACACGUGGAACCGCUAGACCUCCUCCUCGCUUUCCGGCAUUCCGAAACUGACGCAUAAACAUCAAUUGGAAAAGGGGUGUUGAUAACAGAAGCGCCGCACAAUAAUAGCCGUUGUCGGGAAGCCCGUUUGUAGAGGUCACACCGCGCCUGAAUACAUACUCCAGACUGCAAAUGUGGUACACGGAAAUACUUGAUUGCGUUCGGACUUCCUGCUGGAAUCCCAUUCUGUUUCAGUCCGCAGCAGUCCUACGGACAUCUCGAUGUCCUGGCAGACCAACAACGUUAGCGAAGAUUGGCUGGGUGACACAAGACUGCAUGCAGGUCCAAAGUGAAUGGAGAGGACUCCAGAUCUGCUAAUUUACAGAUGUGCUGGGUGUGUCCCGGCAACCGCUGGACCCCUGCGUGCUUCGUGGCAAUGUAUCGGUCGCUGCCCAGAGGGUGGGGGCCACUGCACCACCCCAACCUGCGACAACUCAGCGUAACACACCAUCAUCAGUGUGCUCAGUGCUGUCCCAAUUCCGGUAAGUGAUACUAAACUGCACAUACAUUAUUUCUAUUUUAUAUAGGCUGUGUAUUUUUACGUGUUAUUUGGUAUGAUUUGGCAGCUUCAUAGCUUAAAGGUUACUGGAGAGACUGUUUCUGCCAACAGCGCUUGCAUGAGAUUUUCUGCCGAGAGCGCUUGCGUGAGAUUUUUGCUACGGAGAACAGUGCCGGCAAUGAUUGUGGAAAAGUAUUUCUACUUUAUAUAGGCUGUGUAUUUAUCAUAUUAUUCCUGCUUUUACUGUAUGUUACUGUUAUUUUAAGUUUUAUGUGUUAUUUGGCAUGAUUUGGUAGGUUAUUUUUGGGUCUGCGAACACUCACAAAAUUUUCCCAUAUAAAUAAAUGGUAAUUGCUUCUUCGCUUUACGACAUUCCGGCUUACGAACCGUUUCAUAGGAACGCUCUACCUUCGGAUGGCGGGGGAAACCUGUAACAUGAGUCAAAACCUUUAAAUCGGCACAGAAACCGGCAUAAGCACCAGCCUGUCGGGAAAGACUUUAACUUAACUUUAAAACCUUUGAAGUGAACAAUUUUAUUGGUUAAAAUAUUCCUGUUUAUAGUCAUACCUCCUGCAAUAAAGACUAAUAUACUAUUUGCCUUCAUAAUUGCCUGUUAUAGUUGCAGAUUGACCUUCAGUAGUUUGUGCAGAGACCUAGAUCCCUUCUGAACACCAACAUCAUUCAAUCUCUUCACAUUUAUAAAACCCUCUGCUUUUCUAUUUUUCUUCAACCAAAGUGAAUCACGUUACAUUCUGGGCAUUGUUGCAUACAGUCAGACUCUAACUAUAUGCAGGAGUUGCAAAUGGAAUUAAAUAAUCACUUAAAAACUUCUAAUUUCAUGAUGGAAGGACAAAUCAAAGAGAUCUUAAGUUAAUCAAGGACACCGUCCCUAGAACACUUCCAGUAAGAUUCUGGGGCUAAAAUUAUUAGCUUCCAAUUACAUAAACCAACUUCUAAAAGAGGAAUAUUACAGGCACUGAUAAUCUUAAAUAAAAAUAUGCUGGAAACGCUUAGUGGAUCAGGCAGAUGCAUGGAAAAAAAUAAUGUUUGAGAUCAAAUCACCUUCUCUUGUACUUCGUGUGACUCCAGUCACUGAAAUAUUUAAAUCCAACCCCCACCUCAACUUUCAAUUUCCCCCAGGGAUUUUAAUUUUACUUUGAUUUCUGGAUACCACAAUAGCCAAAUGCUGCUUUGGCAUUAAGGACAAUUACACAUACUGAAAUUCAACUGCUGCUCUCAAAGAUCAGAUCAAAAGUAUUUUGGAUGCUUUCUCCUUUAUAAUAAUUGGACAUUAAUUUAUCGGGAUACUGUAUAGAGAACAGGAGAUAAAAAUAAUCAUGUCAGAUAAUCCAAGAACAUAAAAAACAGGAGCAGGAAUAGAUCAGUGAACCCUCAAUUCUUCUAUGUCAUUCAAUAAAACGGUAGCCAAUUUGAUCCUAGCUACUUUCCGCUCUCCUGUCUGUUACCUGUAAUUGUUUACUCUCCUAUAGACCAAACAUCUUGAACAAACAUAUAGGAGAGUAAAUAUAUUCAAUUAUUUAAACUCCACAGCCUUCUGGGCUAAAGGUUUCAAAAGCCUCACAAACCUCAGAUUAGUUGGAAAAUUAGGCAAAGUGGUGGCAGAUGGAAUUUAAUCUGGACAAACAUGCCAUAGUGCAUUUUCGGAUGUCAAUUAUUAAUAGAACAUAAACAGAAAACGGUAGGGACUUUGAGUGUUGAUGUAUGAAGGAACCUUGGGGUGCAAGUUUAUAGCUUACUGAAAACAGAGACCCAAGUGGUAAGGGUAGUGAAGAAGGCAUUCAAUAUACUUACCCUCAUAGUCCAAGGCACUGAGUUACAAGAGUUGUGACAUCACAUUGUAGAUGUACAAAAUAUUAGUCAGGCUACACAGGAGUAUUGUGUACAACUAUGAUUGUCACACUACACCAAGGAUAUGGUAACAUUAGAAAGACCGUACAAGACCACACGACAUAGGAACAGAAUUAGCCAUUCAGCCCAUCAGAUCUGCUCCGCCAUUCCAUCAUGGCUAAUCCCGGAUCCCACAUAACCCCAUACACUUGCCUUCUCGCCAUAUCCUUUGAUGCUCUCCUUUGUUCCUUCUCUGGACUUUCUCCAAUGACAACACAUCCUUUUGGAGAUACAAAGCCCAAAAACUGUUGACAAUACCCCAAGUGCAGCCUGACGAGUGUCAGCAUUAUUUCCUUGCCUUUACAUUCUUUUCCCCUUGAAAUAAAUGUCUACAUUGCAUUUGCCUUCUUUACCACAGACUCAACCUGCAAAUGAACUUUUUGGGAAUCUUCCAUGAGGACUCCGCACUCUGCAAAAGAACAAGGUUCUGUUUGGAUCUUGUCCCCAUUUAGAUAAUAGUCUGCACUAAUGUUCCUUUUACAAAAAUACAUGAUCAUACAUUUCCCAACUCAUUGUUCCAUCUGCUAGUUUUUUUGCCCAUUCUUCCAAUUUGUCCAUGUCCUGCUGCAAUCGUAUUGCUUCCUCAGCACUACCUAUCCCUUCACCUAUCUUCGUAUCAUCAGCAAACUUCUUCCACAAAGCCAUCAAUUCCAUUACCUAUAUCACUGACAAAAACAAUGUGAAAAGUAGUGGUCCCCAAACUGAUUCCUGAGGAACACCACUAGUCACUGGCAGCCAACCAGAAAAGAAAGGACCCCUUUAUUCCGACUCGCUGCCUCCUGCCUGUCAGCCAUUCCCCUAUCCAUGCCAGUAUUUUUCAUGUAACACCAUAGGAAUUUAUCCUGUUAAACAGCCUCAUGUGUGGCAUCUUAUCAAAUGCCUUCUGAAAAUCCAAGUAAUGAUAUCCACUGCCUCUCCUUUGUCCACACUGCUUGUUACUUCCUCAAAGAACAGAUUUGUAAGGCAAGAUAUUCCUUUACCGAAACCAUGCUGAUUUUGACUUAUUUUAUCAUUAGUCUCCAAGUACCUCAAAACUUCAUCCUUAAUAAUACACACCAGUAUCUUCCCAACCACUGAGGUUAGGCUAACUGGCCUGUAAUUUCCUUUCUUCUGCCUUCCUCCCUUCCUAAAGAGUAGAGUGACAUCUGCAAUCUUCCGGUCCUCUGGGACCAUGCCAGACUCAAAGGAUUAUUGAAAGAUCAUGACCAAUGCAUCCAUUAUCAUUUUAGCAACCUCUUUCAGGACUCCAGCACUUCUUCCUUUGUAAUAGCAAUGGCACUCACUUCUGCUCCCUGACACUCAUAGAUCUCUGGCACAUUGCUAGUGUCUUCCACAGUGAAGACAGAUGAAAAGUACUCAAGUUCAUCUGCCAGUUCUUUGUCCCCUAUUACUACCUCACCAGCAUCACUUUCCAGUGGUCUAAUAUUAACCUCUCACCUCCCUUUCACGUUUUUAUAUAAUUGAAAAAACUUUUGGUAUCCUGCAUUACAUUAUUGGCCAGUUUGCCCUCAUGUUUCAACUUAGCCCUUCGUAUAGUUUUUUUUAAGUUGUCUUUUGUUGGAUUUUAAAAGCUUCCAAUCAUCCAAUUUCCCACUCACUUUUGCUACUUUAUAUAUGACCUUUCCUAGGCUUUUAUGCAGUCCUUAACUACCAUUGUCAGCCACGGUUGCCUACCUCUGCCAUUCGAGAACAACUUCCUCCGUGGGACGUAUCUGUCCUGCGCUUUGUCAUCUAUUCCCAGAAACUUCAGCCAUCUUCUGCUCUGCCAUCAUCCCCGCCAGUAUCCUCCUCCAAUCCACCUGGGCAAGCUCCUCUCUCAUGUCUCUGUAAUUCCCUUUAUUCCAUUGUGAUACUGAUAUAUGUGAUUUAUGCUUCGCCCUCUCAAAUUACAGUAUGAAUUCAAUCAUAUUAUGAUCACUGCCUCCUGAAGGUUCCUUUACGUUAGCUCCCUAAUAAGAUCUGAUUAUAUAACACCCAAUCUAAGAUAGACUUUCAUAGAACAUAGAACAUAGAAUAGUCCAGCACAGUACAGGCCCUUCAGCCCACAAUGUUGUGCCGACCCUCAAACCCUGCCUCCCAUAUAAGACCCCACCUUAAAUUCCUCCAUAUACCUGUCUAGUAGUCUCUUAAACUUCACUAGUGUAUCUGCCUCCACCACUGACUCAGGCAGUGCAUUCCACGCACUAACCACUCUCUGAGUAAAAAACCUUCCUCUAAUAUCCCCCUUGAACUUCCCACCCCUUACCUUAAAGCCAUGUCCUCUUGUAUUAAGCAGUGGUGCCCUGGGGAAGAGGCGCCGGCUAUCUACUCUAUCUAUUCCUCUUAUUAUCUUGUACACCUCUAUCAUGUCUCCACUCAUCCUCCUUCUCUCCAAAGAGUAAAGCCCUAGCUCCCUUAAUCUCUGAUCAUAAUCCAUACUUUCUAUACCAGGCAGCAUCCUGGUAAAUCUCCUCUGUACCCUUUUCAAUGCUUCCACAUCCUUCCUAAAGUGAG
Mobula hypostoma (lesser devil ray) is the source of this 5233-nucleotide long non-coding RNA. RefSeq lists it as uncharacterized. The transcript has 3 exons. The record is from RefSeq and is a predicted model, not a curated record. NCBI's taxonomy places the organism in Eukaryota, Metazoa, Chordata, Chondrichthyes, Myliobatiformes, Myliobatidae.